UACAGAGGGUGCGAGCGUUGUCCGGAAUUAUUGGGCGUAAAGAGCUCGUAGGCGGUCUGUCGCGUCGGAUGUGAAAACUCGGGGCUCAACCCCGGGCCUGCAUUCGAUACGGGCAGACUAGAGUACGGCAGGGGAGACUGGAAUUCCUGGUGUAGCGGUGAAAUGCGCAGAUAUCAGGAGGAACACCGGUGGCGAAGGCGGGUCUCUGGGCCGAAACUGACGCUGAGGAGCGAAAGCGUGGGGAGCAAACAGG
RNAcentral lists this ribosomal RNA (253 nucleotides) under uncultured bacterium. RNAcentral's name for it is "partial 16S ribosomal RNA". It matches the Rfam family "Bacterial small subunit ribosomal RNA", at positions 524 to 776 of the family's 1533-position model. The record is from RNAcentral.